CAGGGGUAUGGGACUCAAUUCAUCAGGGGUAUGGGACUCAAUUCAUCAGGGGUAUGGGACUCAAUUCAUCAGGGGUAUGGGACUCAAUUCAUCAGGGGUAUGGGACUCAAUUCAUCAGGGGUAUGGGACUCAAUUCAUCAGGGGUAUGGGACUCAAUUCAUCAGGGCUAUGGGACUCAAUUCAUCAGGGGUAUGGGACUCAAUUCAUCAGGGGUAUGGGACUCAAUUCAUCAGGGGUAUGGGACUCAAUUCAUCAGGGCUAUGGGACUCUACAAGGUGUCGAGAGUCUUCCACAGGGAUGCUGACCCCAUGUUGACUCUACAAGGUGUCUAAAGCGUUCCACAGGGAUGCUGGCCCCAUGUUGACUCUCAUUCUAGACUCUAUCCGAUACCUAGGAAAUAUAGAUCUAUGAAAUUAUAGCCUAGAUCUCCAAAGGGAACUUGGGAGUACUGUCUGGUCUGGUAAGGGUACAUCUAGCUGGGAAUAUAUAUAGUGCACUACUUUAGACCAGAGCCCUAUUCCCUAUAUAGUGCACUACUUUAGACCAGAGCCCUAUUCCCUAUAUAGUGCACUACUUUAGACCAGAGCCCUAUUCCCUAUAUAGUGCACUACUUUAGACCAGAGCCCUAUUCCCUAUAUAGUGCACUACUUUAGACCAGAGCCCUAUUCCCUAUAUAGUGCUACUACUAUAGACCAGAGCCCUAUUCCCUAUAUAGUGGUACUACUUUAGACCAGAGCCCUAUUCCCUAUAUAGUCCACUACUAUAGACCAGAGUCCUAUUCCCUAUAUAGUGGUACUACUUUAGACCAGAGCCCUAUUCCCUAUAUAGUCCACUACUAUAGACCAGAGCCCUAUUCCCUAUAUAGUCCACUACUAUAGACCAGAGCCCUAUUCCCUAUAUAGUGGUACUACUUUAGACCAGAGCCCUAUUCCCUAUAUAGUCCACUACUAUAGACCAGAGCCCUAUUCCCUAUAUAGUGGUACUACUAUAGACCAGAGUCCUAUUCCCUAUAUAGUGCACUACUUUAGACCAGAGCCCUAUUCCCUAUAUAGUGCACUACUUUAGACCAGAGCCCUAUUCCCUAUAUAGUGCACUACUUUAGACCAGAGCCCUAUUCCCUAUAUAGUGCACUACUUUAGACCAGAGCCCUAUUCCCUAUAUAGUGCACUACUUUUGACCAGAGCCCUAUUCCCUAUAUAGUGCACUACUUUUGACCAGAGCCCUAUUCCCUAUAUAGUGCACUACUAUAGACCAGAGCCCUAUUCCCUAUAUAGUGCACUACUGUUGAACAGAGCCCUAUUCCCUAUAUAGUGUACUACUUUAGACCAGAGCCCUAUUCCCUAUAUAGUCCACUACUUUAGACCAGAGCCCUAUUCCCUAUAUAGUCCACUACUUUAGACCAGAGCCCUAUUCCCUAUAUAGUGCACUACUUUAGACCAGAGUCCUAUUCCCUAUAUAGUCCACUACUUUAGACCAGAGCCCUAUUCCCUAUAUAGUCCACUACUUUAGACCAGAGCCCUAUUCCCUAUAUAGUGGUACUACUUUAGACCAGAGCCCUAUUCCCUAUAUAGUGGUACUACUUUAGACCAGAGCCCUAUUCCCUAUAUAGUGGUACUACUUUAGACCAGAGCCCUAUUCCCUAUAUAGUGGUACUACUUUAGACCAGAGCCCUAUUCCCUAUAUAGUGCACUACUUUUGACCAGAGCCCUAUUCCCUAUAUAGUGCACUACUUUUGACCAGAGCCCUAUUCCCUAUAUAGUGCACUACUAUAGACCAGAGCCCUAUUCCCUAUAUAGUGCACUACUGUUGAACAGAGCCCUAUUCCCUAUAUAGUGUACUACUUUAGACCAGAGCCCUAUUCCCUAUAUAGUCCACUACUUUAGACCAGAGCCCUAUUCCCUAUAUAGUCCACUACUUUAGACCAGAGCCCUAUUCCCUAUAUAGUGCACUACUUUAGACCAGAGUCCUAUUUCCUAUAUAGUCCACUACUUUAGAACAGAGCCCUAUUCCCUAUAUAGUCCACUACUUUAAACCAGAGCCCUAUUCCCUAUAUAGUGGUACUACUUUAGACCAGAGCCCUAUUCCCUAUAUAGUGGUACUACUUUAGACCAGAGCCCUAUUCCCUAUAUAGUGGUACUACUUUAGACCAGAGCCCUAUUCCCUAUAUAGUGGUACUACUUUAGACCAGAGCCCUAUUCCCUAUAUAGUGGUACUACUUUAGACCAGAGCCCUAUUCCCUAUAUAGGGUGCACUACUUUAGACCAGAGCCCUAUUCCCUAUAUAGUCCACUACUUUAGACCAGAGCCCUAUUCCCUAUAUAGUGGUACUACUUUAGACCAGAGCCCUAUUCCCUAUAUAGUGGUACUACUUUAGACCAGAGCCCCCAUAAGGAAUAGGUGGUCAUUUGAGACUCACCCAUUCCCUCUUUAGUUUCUACGUUUCGUUCCGUCCUCUGAUUCGGUAACAGGAAAGAAACCGCUCCAACGAUCCACCACGGAAGUCCCUCCCCCCUCUGUGUGAAAGAAAGGUCGUCUUCUUCAUUCACCGGUCUUAUCGUUGUUUCUUAUAAUAAUAGUUUUGUUUUUAACUUUCUCAUCAAGACAGCGAGUGAUUGUGUUAGUUGUGUCUGUGCACCCCAAGGUCUGUGCAGAGUAAAACAAUGAAACGAAAAGGGAUGGGGGCUGUCUGUUAUAGAGCUUAUGGACAGUUACAUAUGCAGUGCCUUCGGACAGUAUUCACACCCCUUGACCUUGUUCUACGUUUUGUCUUAAAGAUGUAUUUUUUUGUGUCACUGGCCUCUAACACACCACAAUCAUAAUGUCAAAGUGGAAUUAUGUUUUUAGAAAUGUUUACAAAAUGAUUUAUUUUUUAUUUUUAAAAAGGGAAAAGCUGAAAUGUCUUGAGUCAAUUUUAGUUUUCAACUCCUUUGUUAUGUCAAGCCCUAGAUAAGUUCAGGAGUAAAAAAUGUGCUCAACAAGUCACAUAACAAGUUGGCGUGGACUCACUCUCUGUGUGUAAUAAUAGUGUUUAACGUGAUUCUCUGUACCCCACACAGACAAUUAUCUCUAAGGUCCCUCAGUCGAGAAGAUGUAGUGCAUUCGGACCCGUUGAUUUUUUUCUCUCCACAUUUUGUUACGUUACAGCCUUGAUCAUCCAUUCUACAACUUGAUUGGAGUCCACCUGUGGUAAAUUGAAUUGAUUGGACGUGAUUUGGAAAGCACACACCUGUCUAUAUAAUGUCCCACAGUUGACAGUGCAUGUCAGAGCCAAGGACAAUCCAUGAAGUGUAAAGCUGUCGUCAAGGUAAAGGGUGGCUACUUUGAAGAAUCUCAAAUAUAAAAUAUAUUUUGAUUUGUUUAACACUUUUUUUUUUGGUCACUACAUGAUUCCAUAUGUGUUAUAUCAUAGUUGUGAGGUCUUCACUAUUAUUCUACAAUGUAGAAAAUAGUAAAAAUAAAGAAAAACCUUUUGAAUGAGUAGGUGUGUCCAAACUUUUGACUGGUACUGUAUGUAUUCUUGGCUGAGUAGCC
Molecule: long non-coding RNA, 3530 nt
Organism: Oncorhynchus tshawytscha (Chinook salmon)
Lineage: Eukaryota; Metazoa; Chordata; Actinopteri; Salmoniformes; Salmonidae
Source: Ensembl